GACGAACGCUGGCGGCGUGCUUAACACAUGCAAGUCGAACGAUGAAGCGGUGCUUGCACCGUGGAUUAGUGGCGAACGGGUGAGUAAUACGUGAGUGACCUACCUUUGACUCUGGGAUAAGCCUGGGAAACUGGGUCUAAUACCGGAUACGACCAAUCUCUGCAUGGGGUGUUGGUGGAAAGCGUUAUGGAGUGGUUUUAGAUGGGCUCACGGCCUAUCAGCUUGUUGGUGAGGUAAUGGCUUACCAAGGCGACGACGGGUAGCCGGCCUGAGAGGGUGACCGGCCACACUGGGACUGAGACACGGCCCAGACUCCUACGGUAGGCAGCAGUGGGGAAUAUUGCACAAUGGGCGCAAGCCUGAUGCAGCGACGCCGCGUGAGGGAUGACGGCCUUCGGGUUGUAAACCUCUGUUAGCAUCGAAGAAGCGAAAGUGACGGUAGGUGCAGAGAAAGCGCCGGCUAACUACGUG
This 471-nucleotide ribosomal RNA is filed under the name uncultured bacterium. RNAcentral describes it as "partial 16S ribosomal RNA". It matches the Rfam family "Bacterial small subunit ribosomal RNA", at positions 28 to 507 of the family's 1533-position model. The record is from RNAcentral.